This 372-nucleotide long non-coding RNA is filed under the name Bos taurus (domestic cattle). RNAcentral's name for it is "long non-coding RNA NONBTAT019337". The record is from RNAcentral. Lineage: Eukaryota; Metazoa; Chordata; Mammalia; Artiodactyla; Bovidae.
AAUUCAUAGGAUAUGAUGCUUAGGUGAACUUACGUGCCAAAUAUAAAUUCCCUAAAUUGGAAAAGAACAGACAAGUGGAAAAUAAUGGCCUUCACAUAAAGAAUCUUUUCACAAAGGCAUGAAAGGGUAAAAUAGAAAUAAUGAGUAGUCAGCUAAUUGUCCAAGGAAUGAAAGUUUAGAAAAUGUCAACUAUUAUCUCUAUGUUAAUUAGCAAAUCACUGUAUAAUGAGACUAAAAUUAAGAUUAAUGAUUAUUGUUAAUUCUAACAGUAUCCUUUCUCUGUGGGUUAUUUGAAUUGCAUUCUGAUUUUUCAUACCUUGACAAAAAAGAGAUAGCAGGGAACUAUGAUCUGAGUAUCUUCACCAAUAGCCU